UCCAUUCAUUCAAUCCAUUACAAUGUUCAUUACAUGGAAAAAAUACCAAAUUUGACAACUUUGACCGAGUGUUGACUUUGGUCAACAGUUGACUUUAACCAAAUAUACUAAUUUUAUACUAACAACAAUGUAACAGAAGCAACAGCUAAUUCCUGAGCUAACAACCACUCUGCACUAACAUUCAAUAGCAAAUUUGCAAUGCAAUCACUAACAUCAUUCAUUCAGCAGAAAUGCAUCAGUUCUUAACAGAAAUCCAACAUUGCAUCAAUUGAUUUCAACAGCAUUACAUCACCAUUUGUGCAACAUAAUGACUCUUCUAGUAAGUUUUGAUUUGAUCCAAGUACGGUAAACCAAGGUCAGAGAUACAAGCAUAACAAUAUUUUACCAUACAAACUGACAAUAUUUUACCAUACAACAGGAUAACUUUAAUAGUGCCAUUGAAUUGUUCCUUACUAGCUAGGCAAUUAACAGUUAAUGGGUGCAGGGUGAAUAAAAUGAGUCAAAGGGAACAUAGCUAACAAGCAUGUUUUAGUUUAACUCAAUAACCUGUUAAUCAAGCCAACCUCACUUAACAUAAGUUAAUCCCUAACUAACUAACCUUUAAAUAACUAUCUCUAACCACCUUCUUCAACAUAUCCAAUGCCAGUUGUAACUGAGAUUUAAUAGUGUUAAUAACACUUAACUACCUUCCACUGCCAGAAUUUAACAGGGUGAGCUCUCUAACCAUUUUCUGUUAACUUGACACUUCUAUAUAAACAUCAUUUGCACAAAAAUCUCAAAACUGGACUCAUCUUUCGAUCUUCAUCUUAUUCUGUCUCUCAACCUCACAUAAAGCUCUAUUAGGAAGCCACUAGAGCUUCACAUUGAAGCUCCAGUUGUGCUUAAUCUAGGCUUCAUCCUCACACUUUGAUUCACGUAGAGCAUUCAUUCACACAGAAUAAACUCACGCAACAUAGCAACAACAUAAAAUCAAUAGUUUCUCAAUUCUUAUAAUCUACAUAAGUGGGAAGAAGAAGAGGCAUACACAGAGGUGAAAUAUUAAAGGAAGCAUACAAAGGAUUUGUACCUAUUUUUGCCUCCGCGUCGAAACCGGUAAGUCUCUUUUCUUGCUUCAAUCCACUUUUAUCGUUUGAACGGAAUUCUUGAAUUCCAAAACAAGAAGCUUUGUGAUGAAGAUUCCAUGAAAACGAUGAUGAUGAAUCCUUGAUGCAAAUGAGAUGCGCCACAAGAUGUCGGAUGUGAAAACACGACGAUGUUGAUCCAAAAUGCAUAAUCUGGAAUUCCAAAAUACGAUGUCGAAAUCGGUGAAGACUCAGUGAUGAUAAUGUUGAUCCCUGAACAUGACUUUCUUAUUGCUCUAAAUUGUUUAGGCUGAAGCAUUUCCAUUGGUGAUUCUUUUCAUUCACGUUUUUAGCUUCUUUUGAUAAGCGUUGUUUUGAGUUCAAAUUCAAAUUUCCCCUUUUGGUUAUGUGUGGCAUGGACCGAGUUAUGUGAAUACAUAUGGGCCUAAAGCCCAAACUCAUUUUCCACAACAUCUGCUUGCUGAACAUACC
This 1553-nucleotide long non-coding RNA is filed under the name Lathyrus oleraceus (garden pea). RNAcentral describes it as "Pisum sativum (pea) long non-coding RNA (PSAT_LNC032116)". The record is from RNAcentral. Lineage: Eukaryota; Viridiplantae; Streptophyta; Magnoliopsida; Fabales; Fabaceae.